Molecule: non-coding RNA, 6531 nt
Organism: Lolium perenne
Lineage: Eukaryota; Viridiplantae; Streptophyta; Magnoliopsida; Poales; Poaceae
Source: RefSeq, a predicted model, not a curated record
GGGGGUCUGAGAGGGGCAAAUGAAUCUGGGUCGUUGGUUUUGCCCAGCCACAUCCCACUUUUCACUACAGCCGUUCGAUCGGUAGUUUUUUUUCUCACUCGUUCAGCUUUUCAUGGAGUCCAUGACGCAUGGGGCCAGGUACUUGCGGGGACCAACCGUCAGAGACAUCCACAGGUGCUCGUUGGCGUCGCCUUCCGUCUCGAGCCACGCGGGGAUGGUGAAAACCUAGAUCGCCAUUCCCCGAUUCGCUCCCCAAUCCCCGUCCUUCCUCUCCUCCCCAAUCCUCGUCUCUCCUCCUCCCCAACCGUGGCGGCGCGCCCGUCGCGGAGGCGGGCGGCAGCGCGGGCCCGGGAGCAGCCGCGGGGGCUGGAGCGCCGGCAGGCGACGGUCACGGCCGGUCGCGGGUGUCGCCGCGUGGAUGCCGCGUCAGUCGUCGCCGCCGCGGCUCCUCCAGGUGACAGCCGGUCGCGUGCGUCGUCGUGCGAUGAGGAGGUGGGCGGGCGCCGCCUCGGGUCGACGCCGCGGACGUGAGCGAGGACGGAGCGCGUGCCUCCUCUCGUUCCCCAAUACUGGCCUCCUCUCUUCCUCCCCAAUCAGCCGCCGCCUCCUCUCGUUUGCUCGAUCCCGUCGGACGGCCGGACGAGGUGGCGACGACGGAGGCUCGUCAGGGAUGAGCAGCAGGAGGGGUCGAGGUGCGCGGAUGGCGUGGAGGCGUCCACAACGGGGAUGGCCACGGUCGUGCGCCGUUGGAGCACGCAUGGAGGAGGGCGGCGGCGGGCCGGCUUGAGAUGGUCGUUCACAGCCGGCUGGAGCUCGAAAUCCGCUUCCUCCAGUUUGUUGUCUGCUCCUGCCUGAACAGCUUCUGGACGAGGCAGAGAGAGCUGCAGAUCUCGUCAAAAAAGGUUGGUCGUCGUUCCCUUCUUCAUCCCUGCUGAUUAUUCUCUCCAUGUGAGCUCGUUUUUCUGACUCUUGCAGUCCCUUUAUCGAACACAGCUGAUGCCCACGCAGCCUUAGUAUCUCAGUUUAAUUUAGUGAUUUUUUCUGAAGAUCUGAGAUGAAUUAAGCAUGGAUGGAUAGAGGUUCGUUGAUGGGUGCAGGUCUGACCACCAGCUGUUUUUAAAGCCUUUCUCAGAGUGAAUUUUUUUUAGAAUGAUAUUUCUUUUCUUGAUGUCUAUAAUAUACCUUGUUGUUUCUGGCUGUGUAAAUCUGCAGGGGCAAUGAGAUGAGGUUGAUCAGCGAACUGUAAUUGCAUAUAUUCUACUGAUGUUUAGUAAAAUCUGCAGCUUUAGGUUAGAUUUUUCAAAUUUGAAAAGCCACAAAUCCGAGUCCAUGGUUAUUUUGUAAAUUCCAUUGUUUCAAUUGUAGAUACACUAUGGAAUCAUAUCAUGUGCUUGCAGAGAGCAAUACUGUUGUGUUUCUUCUCAAAAGAUUGUUGGACUCCAUUCAGGUCUACAUGCCUGUAUGAUCUUCUUUUCAUUUAAUACAUAUAUCUCUUUUAUUCAGUUCUUAUGUUGCCUUUCAACUCCAAGAUCUUCCUGAUACAAAACUGAUCCAAUAUUUAUUCUGGUACCGUAUAUUGUGCCUCUUGGUGCUAGGAGAGAACCAGUUUUUUUUCCAUUUACUCAUCCAGUGGAGGUCUCGCAACAGGAGCAGUAUUAAGGGUUUGGUCGUCAAAGCAGAUUCACCGGCUAGGGAGAGGAGUAGCGGACUGAGGAAGAGGUGUAGAGGCAGCUACAGGAAAGAUGUCUCCAGGCUCACCUGUGUGGGCUACCCCUGCUAAAAAAGUCUUGGAGCUAAGUUAUGCCUUCUAUCACUUAUGUACUUACUCUUGGAUUUUCUUUCUUUACAUUAGAUCAUUUUUUGUGUAUUUUUCACUGUGUAUUCUUGUUUCUGCAGGUACAAGAACUGAGGAUAGGAAGUGGCUUAUUCGGUUGGGUAUGUCUAAACUAAAGGAGUUGUAAGUGACCCUGCAAUAUGUAAUUUUGGCCAUGUCAAGAUUAUCUCAACUAAUGACUGAACUUUAUCUUGUCAUUUUGCAGCUUGGAUUUUCCAUUAAGCUUGGUGAAGUAUAUUAUGUUAGUGGACAAACAGAAUACCAUGGAUGUCUUUGCUAUUUUGGAGGCAAUUCUUAUUGUGGGUUCACCUCUUGUGAUUAUCUAUAUGAGAUAUGCAUAGUAAGUUUUUUCACACAGUAUAGAGCUGCUAUUCAGAACAUCAGAAAGCUUAUGAUUUCCAAUUCUGAGUUAUGAGCUCUCUCACUUUGAAUAGGUAUUUUGGUAGAUCCAAUUGUUACAGAAAAAAAGGAUAUUUUGGCAGUAUUUCUUUAGCUCCAUUGAAUAGGUAUGGUUAUUUUAAAAUUUCGCAGUGACAACCAUUUGUGUCCUUUUUAUGGUUACGAGUAACCUAUUUGUUCACUUUCUUGACAGAGUGAGCAAUUUGAAUUUUUUUCUCGUCAUGUGCUUGAUGAAUUGCUUACAAAUGCAUAAAAGAAAAUAUUAACAGAUCCCAGAUCAACUUAAGUACUUAGUAUGCUUAGACUAUACGGCUACUCUUAAUAACUACUGUUAAGUAGAAGGCCUACAUGUGAUCCUCCUGUUAUAGAAAAGGUGGUUACUACAUCUGUAGCUUUGUGCUUAAUCAUUUAGGCCAGUGCCAUUUUCUUGUGGUUUUGCAUCUUUCUUCGCCCCCUUCUUAAAUUUCAUAGUGAUAAUAUCCAUUGCUCAUGUUAUGUCUAGCAGCAAGGCAUUGGUGUAGGCCUGUAACGCCGGUGACAGAAGGCAGGCUGUGAUUGAUCUUGAGAUUGCCUUGACCUCUGUGUCGUAGCGGCUGCUGAAUAGAAGAGCUCUAUCUUGAGAAUUCAAGGACCCCUGGGUUGAGGAGGACUUGGCCAAGGAAUGCAUUCGUUGCUGCUUUUCUGCGAACAAAAGGGGACAACAGAGCUUGAGGUGCUGUGUUUAUCUAGAAAGAAAAUAAAUAUGAUAAGAUCAGCCAGCUUUAAUUAUAUGAAUCAAUUCCGAGCAUUGUCACUCUGUUUUUAUUUUAUCAUACAUGGAGGAAGCGUCUCACCCCAGAAAUUAUUAUUUGUUUCCAGGAGUGGCGCUCAUGGACUGCCAGGUUGCAGAUGGUGAACUCAUUAUUAUAUUUUACUUUAGUGAAUAAAUUCAUAAUUCUUUCCCAUCUUUGGAUUUUCCCUUCAAAAAUUCAGAUAGUUUGGUUAUGCUUAUCUUGGUCAGAUAAAUAUUAGUCCUCUUUUUUCCGGAAUACAAAUAAAAAGCAUUCAUGAAGGGAGCAGGCUUUACAAAACAACAGUGUUACUGUUAGUUCAUGGUCCAUGUAGCAGAGCAUAGCUUACCCCAUUUCAAAUGUAGGUAUUUUGAAAGCAUCUACAGGUUUGGAAAAAUAGCAGGGCUUGUGAACUCGCUAUUAUCAGUUCAGGCUGCUAGCUCAAGAUUUAGAAUUGUUUCUCUUUUAUGUGCUUUGCCUUCAAAAGUGUGGAUACCUUAUUAUGUUUUCAGUUCCUUCUUUGGUUUUUACAGUUCAUUUUGAAGCUAAAAUGUUUGUUGCUUUCGUUUCCAAAAUAAAAUACAGUGAUUAUGACAGAAGUGGAGGCUUUCACAAAUUGUUUAAAAAAUAGUUAUUUCAAGAUUGUGUUAUCGCGUGCAUGUGUUCUGUUCUUCUGCAUGAAAGUAAUUGUUCAGUUCCAGUACUUCAGCUGCCUACCUAGGUACGCUGCUGAAACUGAUGAAUAAAAUACUGCCUCAUUAUUGCAAAAGUUUCGAAUCGGUAGACCAUACUUCUAAGUGUACCAUUUCCAUCAAUACUUUAUAGUGGUUACAUUUUGUUCAUACAGAGCUUGCAGUUGUCUUAUACAGGCUACUAAUUUUAUGUAGGAAGGAUUCUGUUACCAUUAAUUAACACACGAUGUUGGUGCUGGUGCUUUUGUGAUGAGUGGCGAAUGAGGUACGGAAUGAAUAUAAAAGGAUAUGCAGCAGGUUCCAUUAAUUAUCUGGCAUAUUCUUACUUUGUCAGAAACCCUAAAUGGGAAAUUGCAUAAGCUGUAUUUUACAUAUAGCAUACAAGGGUGUGUAUCUUAAUCGAAAAAAGUGUGAGUUUCUUUUUAUUGCGGAAUUGAGAUUGACAAUAUAAAACAAUUAGUUCCUGUGGUGUUUUGUUCAUGGUUUCUUUUCGUAAUGUACAUGAUUGCUUUGUCAGUUCAGCUCAUUGUCCUUCAAUCCGUUCAAGUAGAUCUUUUCUACAGCAUCUGGCGAUGCAAUUAUUAAGCUAUUUGACUUGUGCACACUAUCAAGAAGCUUGCAUGCUUUCGAUAACCAUGAGUGUGAUUUUCUUUAUUGGUGCAUGUCUUCUUUAAUCAGUAUUUCUGUUUAUCAUGCUCAGUUUUAUGGUUCCCAUUGGUCAGUCAAUCUACCCGCUCUUCUUCAGCUUAACUGAUAUGCUAUUAAGUAACUGAUGUUUUGUGCUGCACAGUUUGCGCCUGUAGGGGGGGAGGUCUUCCAGGUUGAGUGGAAUCCAAAUUUGGAGGCUAUAUUGUAGCUUCCCACAAACAAAAGGGUUAUGAUAUGGGACGUUAGUAGGAAAGUUUAGUCAAAUCUGCUCCUAUAUUCUAUUUUAUGUUUGCUUUUGGCAUCUUAUUUUCCCUCUCGCCACAUUGUUAUUUAUUGGUGAAUCAGUCCGAAUUGAAACCGAAAAAUAUGUAAUGGGUUUGAUCCAAAACAACAAUCUGUUUGCAUUUACUUCUGCCUUAUCAAUUGCCAAUGCUCUUAAUUUGAAGCCAAUUCUCAUUAAAAUGGUUAGCAAUAAUGUUAAUAGGAGAAUAGUUCUGGAAGGAUUUAUGACUGAAUGUACAUUUAAAACCGAGAGUGUGAACUGUAAUUGAGCUUUAUUCAGAUUUGGGCACUUUUUAUUUAUCGCGGAUUCGGAAUGAACUAUAAUUGAGCUUUAUUCAGUAGAAUAAAACAAGCGCAUUUUUGGAAACUGUGCAGCUGCAAGUUCUUUGCAAUUUAUCUGGUUGUGUUCAUAUAGUAGAGCGGACAAUCUGUGCUGUUGUAGUCUCAAGGUAGUGAGCGAUUAACAACACCAUGUUGCAUACAUGGUCCAUGGUUUUUCCAUUUUUAAAUGCAGAAGCAGGACUCAACAUUUUCAGCUUUGUUUUUGGUAAAACUUAUUGACAAGGUUGAUUAGAAAUUUUAUCCUUUUCUUUACAUGUCAAGACGACAUCUUCCACGGAGUAUUUCGUCCUACAGUCUGCUUCCUCGAGUUGGCUGCGUGGUUCAGUGGUCGUUAUUCAUUCCGUCGUCUUCUCUUCAGUUCAGUGUUUAGUCAUGUGUGGCUUGGUUUCUGCUUGAUCUUUGUUUUUAGGCUGUAGUAGAUCCUUGGUAACAUAUUUUCUUAUGUUCGUAGCAUAAUUUGUUGAAGAACGGGUGCAACUUAUGUCUAUAAUCAGUAAAAAUAUAGUGCCAGCUAAGACUUCAGUGGUAGAAUUGUAGUUCUAAUAUCUUGGGUGAGCAAAUGUGAAUUCCUUCUAAUAUUUUCCCGAAUUGAGAAGUGAACCUUAUUAAUAGAUUUCAUGUACAUAUGAUUUGUGUGUGUGUGUCAUGUGUACAUAUGCUUUGUGUGUAGAAUUGCAGGUCUAAUAUCUUGACAUAUUUCCACGCCCUCUCAUCCUCCAAAUCAAUAGUUCUUAUCAGGUGAUAAUUAGGUGUGUAAGGAUGUCUCAGCAUAUCUCUUGUCCUCCUGUUUGAGUAAGAAAACAUCUUCAUUCUGCAGUUAGUACCUCUGCACCGUUUUUAAUUCCAUACAGAAGUAUAAUUCUGCUGUGACACUUUUCAUGAUAGUUCAAUAUCCAUUAUCUUGCCAGUUUUAUUAUGAAAUGAAUUAGCAGUAUCCUUCUCUAAUCUUCCCAUACUCAGGAUUCCUGUUUCGCAUUCAUGCAAAUCAGAGAUCAUAUAUACAUGUUAAUAACAUUACCGAUCACUGCUAAUACUAUCUUUGGUAAUAGCAUGUGCUAGAAUUUAUAUGGUCUUGUGUUUUUAAUUAUUUUAUAACAUAAUUAAUGCUCACUCGAGUUGCAUGCAGCCUUGGGUGAGCUCAGCCUUGGCCGAGCUGAUACUGUCACCAGCGCAGGGUGGCGUGUGCUUGAGAUUCCACUCGAGAUCGACCGGAUUUUGUAGUCAAUCGAGUUGUAGUGUUCAGUAAUCAGAACUUGUCAGGUCGUUAAAUUUCAGAGAUGUAAACUGGUAUGAGUUUCAGAAUUAUAUGGCCAUAUCCACUGUAAAUUUAUCCCAAAGCUGCUAAUGUAUGAGUUUCAGCGCUGCAAAUGUAUGAGUUUUGUGCACUAUCCAGUCAUCUACUACAAUGCCCAAGCUUGUACAUUGUAGUUUGAAGUUUUUGUGUAUUUCUUAAUCGACUUGCUAGAUGGAAUGGUGUUCAGUUAGAGAAGAUGGAUGCUUGCUUGGUAGCCUAUCAUAUGUACUGUCCCUUUUGAUUUUGCUUGUAGAUCUUCAGAUAGUAUUU